This is a non-coding RNA of Ictidomys tridecemlineatus (thirteen-lined ground squirrel), 87 nucleotides long. The record is from Rfam. NCBI's taxonomy places the organism in Eukaryota, Metazoa, Chordata, Mammalia, Rodentia, Sciuridae.
AUCCUUCGGUUCAUAAGUGUGAUGAUUGGGUGUGCAAGCUCUUGUGUGAGAUAUGCCUCCCUCUAAGUCUUAUUACGACAUCUGACG